This 459-nucleotide ribosomal RNA is filed under the name uncultured bacterium. RNAcentral describes it as "partial 16S ribosomal RNA". It matches the Rfam family "Bacterial small subunit ribosomal RNA", at positions 338 to 795 of the family's 1533-position model. The record is from RNAcentral.
CCUACGGGGAGCAGCAGUGAGGAAUAUUGGUCAAUGGUCGGGAGACUGAACCAGCCAAGCCGCGUGAGGGAUGAAGGUACAGAGUAUCGUAAACCUCUUUUGUCAGGGAACAAAGGCGGGGACGUGUCCCCGGAUGAGUGUACCUGAAGAAAAAGCAUCGGCUAACUCCGUGCCAGAAGCCGCGGGAAUACGGAGGAUGCGAGCGGUAUCCGGAUUUAGUGGGGUUAAAGGGUGCGCAGGCGGCGGUGCAAGACAGCGGUCCAAUCUCGGGGCUCAACCCCGUACUGCCGUUGAAACCGCAUCCCGUGAGUGCGCGAGAAGUAUGCGGAAUGCGUGGUGUAGCGGUGAAAUGCAUAGAUAUCACGCAGAACUCCGAUUGCGAAGGCAGCAUACCGGCGCGCAACUGACGCUCAUGCACGAAAGCGUGGGUAUCGAACAGGAUUAGAUACCCCAGUAGUC